RNAcentral lists this ribosomal RNA (1433 nucleotides) under uncultured bacterium. Its description in RNAcentral is "partial 16S ribosomal RNA". It matches the Rfam family "Bacterial small subunit ribosomal RNA". The record is from RNAcentral.
AGUUUGAUCCUGGCUCAGGACGAACGCUGGCGGCGUGCCUAAUACAUGCAAGUCGAACGAAGCUUUCUUUCACCGAAUGCUUGCAUUCACCGAAAGAAGCUUAGUGGCGAACGGGUGAGUAACACGUAGGCAACCUGCCCAAAAAAGGGGGGUAACACUUGGGACCGGGGUUCUAACCCCACUACCCAUGACACCCCGCAUUGUAUUUCAUGAAAAGGCGGUUUUUCCUUUUCCUUUUGGAGCGGGCCUCGCGGGUUUUUUCUUUGGUGGGGGGGGAACCGGCUCACCAAGGGGUUUAAUACGUACCCAAACUGGAGAGUUUUAUCGCCCCCCAUUGGGACUGAGCCCCGGCCCCAACUUCCUGGGGGGACCAGCGGUGAGGAUUUCUCCCCAAAGGGAAGAAAGUUGGAUGGACCACCCCCGCAUGAAUGAAGAAGCCCUUCGGGUUCGAAAAAUUCUUGUUCUCAGAGAAAAAACGUGCGUGAGAAUAACUGUUCCACGUAUUGACGGUAUCUGCCCAGAAAGCCACGGCUAAAUUACGUGCCAGCAGCCGCGGUAAUACGUAGGUGGCGAGCGUUGUCCGGAUUUAUUGGGCGUAAAGGGAACGCAGGCGGUCUUUUAAGUCUGAUGUGAAAGCCUUCGGCUUAACCGAAGUAGUGCAUUGGAAACUGGAAGACUUGAGUGCAGAAGAGGAGAGUGGAACUCCAUGUGUAGCGGUGAAAUGCGUAGAUAUAUGGAAGAACACCAGUGGCGAAAGCGGCUCUCUGGUCUGUAACUGACGCUGAGGUUCGAAAGCGUGGGUAGCAAACAGGAUUAGAUACCCUGGUAGUCCACGCCGUAAACGAUGAGUGCUAAGUGUUGGAGGGUUUCCGCCCUUCAGUGCUGCAGCUAACGCAUUAAGCACUCCGCCUGGGGAGUACGGUCGCAAGACUGAAACUCAAAGGAAUUGACGGGGGCCCGCACAAGCGGUGGAGCAUGUGGUUUAAUUCGAAGCAACGCGAAGAACCUUACCAGGUCUUGACAUCUUCUGACAAUUCCAGAGAUGGAACGUUCCCUUCGGGGACAGAAUGACAGGUGGUGCAUGGUUGUCGUCAGCUCGUGUCGUGAGAUGUUGGGUUAAGUCCCGCAACGAGCGCAACCCUUAUUGUCAGUUGCCAUCAUUAAGUUGGGCACUCUGGCGAGACUGCCGGUGACAAACCGGAGGAAGGUGGGGAUGACGUCAAAUCAUCAUGCCCCUUAUGACCUGGGCUACACACGUGCUACAAUGGACGGUACAACGAGUCGCUAACUCGCGAGGGCAAGCUAAUCUCUUAAAGCCGUUCUCAGUUCGGAUUGCAGGCUGCAACUCGCCUGCAUGAAGUCGGAAUCGCUAGUAAUCGCGAAUCAGCAUGUCGCGGUGAAUACGUUCCCGGGCCUUGCACACACCGCCCGUC